This 4259-nucleotide unclassified non-coding RNA is filed under the name Melitaea cinxia (Glanville fritillary). RNAcentral describes it as "misc RNA ENSMCXG00005001081.1". The record is from RNAcentral. Lineage: Eukaryota; Metazoa; Arthropoda; Insecta; Lepidoptera; Nymphalidae.
GAUUCCGGACGUACACUCAGCACUGAGUCGGUGCCGGACGCUGGACUACCCUCGCUGACCCCCGGCCGGCCGACGCAGCAGCGACUUGAAGAGUUACUUAAAUUAUUACGCAUCAGCGCUUCCACACACAUCGUAAAUGAUUGGCCGAAGCUAGGUGAGGACUUCUAUCGAAGCUCGGACACGAGUUUAGACGAAAACAGCAUAUAUCGGCGAGUGCCGAUGGGCUAUUUACAAAGAGUGAACAGGAUAAUCAAAUCUCGCUGCGAGGAAGGUACGGCAGUGACGUUUGUUCAGCUGCCACAGCCUCCCAAACUGUCUCCCACUCCGACCGAAGAUGAGGCUAUCUGCGACCAUUAUUUGGCGGUAUUAGACGAGUUUACAAGGGAUCUCUCCCCGACGAUACUUGUACGUGGAUUAAAGUCUGUCACCUCGACCUCACUGUGAGCAGACUACUAAAGAAAAAGAAAAAUUAAAGUCGGAUUGAUAUAUUCAGAAAACUGUUCGUUUUGCAAACGAUCCGUUAAAUUUCGAAUAAGACGUUUUAUAAAUUAAAUUACCAAAACGAAUCGUUUUUUUGGUAUAGCAAUCCGACGGUAGUUGCCCGAAAUAUUGCUGAAAGAUUGGGCACCAAUGUAUGUAACUCUAAGUUAAUAGUUAAAAAGUCUGGAUCUGUUGGGUUAGAAUUAUUGAUGUACCAAAUUUAAUUAUUAUUGUAGAAAACAUAGGGUGCAAGUGGGAUAUACCUUCUAAAAUGUAUAUGUAUUGUAAUGUGUGGUACAUAAGAGUUAUAUAAAUGUUAGAUAAUGUGUGACAAAUCUUUGUGCAUAGUUCUGAAAAGUAAAAAAUCCAGACAAUUAAGUACUGAAUGUAUCUUCUCGGUGUUCUGAUUUGUCUAAAAACUUUUGUCAAUUAUUACUAAUCUUUGUCCAGAAAUUCAAAUAAAACUUGGGUGACCUAGAGUCUGAAUUAGAUAAAUUAUAUUUUAUACAAAAAAAAUAUACUGUAGAAUUUUUAAAAUAUCAUAUAUUUAUUUGAUUUUUACUGUCUGCUAUGGAAAAUGUUUUUAGAACUCUUUAUUUUGUCUUUUAGGCAUUGUUUUAUUAAUAUUUGACUGUGUGUAACACAAACGGUGCGACGCUUAAACGUUGACUUCAAAGUAUUAUUGACAUUUUAUUUUAUUAUAUACUGGUUCCUAUAUUCAAAAAAUUAUUCCGUUUUGUUGAACGAACCGUCGUUCGUAAUCAAACUAAUCGUUUUAUGGAUAUUGGAAUCGGGUAUUAGAAAAUUUCGCCUAAAAGGCACUAGCUGAUAAGAUUAUUUUUAAAAUCGUCUUUUAUAGUUGGUAUUCUUUGAUAUAAUUUUUGACAAUGUAAAUAAAUAAUGACAAUGUACAUCGUAGAAAUAUUAAAACGAUAAGGAAUUAUGAAAUUCGUUGAUCUCCUUCGUGUAUUCUCUACUUCGUUACACUGGCGGUAACAACGGUGCUUCGCUGGCACAACUGUAACCCAUUAUACACUUAUCAAUCAAUCAAUUAUACAAUUUUGACAUAUAUUUGGGAUUGAGGAUACCAGCAAUGAAACGAAGUAUCACUUUAACACAUUUAUUUUACUAAAAUUAUACCUAAAUCACCGUGUACCCGCUCGCUCGUCAACCCUCUCUCGAUUCAAAUCUAUCAUGACCGAACAUCCGCUAUCUCUUUCACCCAUUCUUCCUUUCAUUCACACUUCACAGAUUAACUAAUUAAAUCAUUCACAUUCAAUAAUCAUUCCACAUUUACAUAAACAUAUCUUUUUUUAUUAAUUAUUUACAAAGUAAUUUUUUCCUUAUAUCACGUAAAAGUGAUGAUUUGAAUCGAAUUUGUAAGUUAAUUCGCUAAACUCCUCUAUUUAUGGUCUGGCAUAUCACUAGUUAUUCAGCAUCAUUCACUACUUAUUACCUCCUACUUUCUGUUUCCUCUUUCACUACUACCUAUAUACGAGCAUAUUUUUUUUUUUUGGAUUUUGGACACUUAAAUAACUCGCAUUAACAAUAAUUAAUCCCGAAUAUCAAAUGUACUACUUGUCUGUUGUACGUUUUGUCUUUCUCCGAUGUAUCUAUUACUAUGUAAGUAUGAGUGUUCGUAGUUAAAAAGGUUUUUCGGAUUAACGAAACUUUAUUAAACUUUCAUGUGUGUGAUAAUACAUUUACACAUGAGGAAAUGUAUCUGAUAGUUUUAUAUUUUAAUAAUAAUAAAAAACAACUUACCAAUGACAAGCUUAAGUGUGAUAAAAAGUGGAUUGAGAUUAUUAAUGAACAGUCGUAAUAUAUUGAUACCUAUUAUUACAAAGUCCACUAAAAAUUCAAGUCAGUCUUAAAACCUAUUUUAACUACGAAAACUUAUACUGAAGAUGUUUUUAUGCAAAAUAUUUUAAGGCACACUAAAAUGUUUAUUAUUGAUUAUUAUUAUUUAAGUUUCAGUUACACUUUGUGUUAUUGUAAUGUAGCAAUAAUUAUUUUAAUAUAAAAAUUGACACUUUUAAACAUAUUGAUUAGUAUUAUAAUAAGUUUUAAGCGACACUUAUGACAUUUAUUUUAUUUUUUAUUUUAUUUAUGAAGAAAACAUACAUCUUGCAAUUACACAUAUGAACAACAAUUACACAUAUUAAACUAGAAAAUUUAUAAGCCAAUUAAGUUUUCACUUAUUACAUCUGACAAAUAUUAAUUGGGCAAACUUUAAAAUUGUACAAACAAUACAAACUUUGUUUUUUUUUUUUUUGUAACACAACAUUAUAUACGAUACAGAAUUACAGUAACAGUAAUUUGUGAUAAUCACAGUUCAUUUAAUUAAUUUAAUUACUUGAUCACAGUUUUAAAUAUAUUAGGUUUUAAAUGACAUUUAUAAAGAAAUUAUAUUUUAUUUAAGAAAAAAAUAAACAUCAAUAAAUUAUAAUACGCCUCCCUAUAUCUAACAAAUCGACUAUUUGGUUUUUGACUUUUAUUUCACCCUAUCAUAUUUAGAUAAUACAUACUAUGUCCUUGGAUUUUUGAUAUUUUAUUUUUAAGUAUUCAUACAACAAGAUUAAUUUCAAAACUAGUUUAGUCUUCUUUUCUAUAAUCGAUACAAAUAAAUAAAAUUGGAGUGUCUGUUUGUAAUAUUAAAAUAACUGUUUUUUACUAAAUGCAUAUGAAUGUUACAUAUCAUUUUUUUUAAAUAUUUGUCCGUCUGUCUGUCUGACUGUCUGUUCCGGCUAAUCUCUGAAACGGCUGGCCCGAUUUCGACGAGACUUUUACUGACAGAUAGCUGAUAUAGUAAGGAGUAACUUAGGCCACUUUUAUUUUAGAAAUUUCUUUAUUUUAUAAUACUGCGAACUCAUUCCAUCAAUAGAAGCGUCUGCUAUGUUGUUAAAAUAAUUUGUAAUUUGGAGAUGACCAUUAUGGAAAAUCACGUUUUUGAAAUAUCUAAAUAUUAUUUUACUACUGUUAGCCUACUAAACCUGUAUACUUUAUCAAUAUCGCUUAAUUAAUCUCUUUUGAAUACCUAUUAUAGAUCGAAUUGGUACAGUAUUCCUUGAAGAUGUAAGCUUAAUAUUAAUAUUUUUUAAUUAUUAGUAACCUGACAUUAUUAUGGAUUUUAUAAUCAGACAAACAAAAUAAAAAAAAGAAUCCGACAAAAACUAGUAUUUUGAUUAAUUGUAAAAUUUAUCAUGCAGGUAAUAACGGUAGAAAUAUGUUUUUUUUUUUUUUUAUAUAACUAGGUCUGCAAACAAGUGGACGACUCACUUGACGGUAAGCGAUUACCGUAACUUAUAGACGUCUGCAACAUUAGAAAUAUCGCAGGCGCGUUGCCAAUCCUAUCCCCAAUCCCCCCAAGUGCUUUGAUCACCUUACUCACCACAGGAACAUAACAUUGCUUGAAAGCAGUACUAUUUGAGUAUUUUUAUUUGAUAUGCUGUGAUCUUCUGUAAGGUCGAGAGGUACUUCCCCGGUCGGGCUGAGUAGCAUAAUUCCUGCUGUGUCCUACCACCGUUAAGUUUGGUAUUUAAAUUAACAUUCUUUUAGUUUCAACAAAUGUAGAAUGUAAAAAGUGUAGACGUUUCCUACUCAUUAUUAUAAUCGUAUAAUUGAAUGGAUCUGUGUCAAUGUCUUAAGGAUUUGUAAACCAAUUUUAAUGUAUUUAGCCAAUGAUUUUAAGUAUGUAAAUCUCACAAGCCAAUAAAAGUACUGUGUUUUAAAUUUAUUUUAUUGUUAUAUCCUUGAUAUUUUUAUUUGACUAAACAUCA